RNAcentral lists this ribosomal RNA (433 nucleotides) under uncultured bacterium. Its description in RNAcentral is "partial 16S ribosomal RNA". It matches the Rfam family "Bacterial small subunit ribosomal RNA", at positions 29 to 507 of the family's 1533-position model. The record is from RNAcentral.
AGCGAACGCUGGCGGCAGGCCUAACACAUGCAAGUCGAACGGACCCUUCGGGGUUAGUGGCGGACGGGGGAGUAACACGUGGGAACGUGCCUUUAGGUUCGGAAUAGCUCCUGGAAACGGGUGGUAAUGCCGAAUGUGCCCUUCGGGGGAAAGAUUUAUCGCCUUUAGAGCGGCCCGCGUCUGAUUAGCUAGUUGGUGAGGUAACGGCUCACCAAGGCGACGAUCAGUAGCUGGUCUGAGAGGAUGACCAGCCACACUGGGACUGAGACACGGCCCAGACUCCUACGGGAGGCAGCAGUGGGGAAUCUUGCGCAAUGGGCGAAAGCCUGACGCAGCCAUGCCGCGUGAAUGAUGAAGGUCUUAGGAUUGUAAAAUUCUUUCACCGGGGACGAUAAUGACGGUACCCGGAGAAGAAGCCCCGGCUAACUUCGUG